RNAcentral lists this non-coding RNA (45 nucleotides) under Schistosoma mansoni. Lineage: Eukaryota; Metazoa; Platyhelminthes; Trematoda; Strigeidida; Schistosomatidae. The record is from RNAcentral.
AUUCAGCUGAUGAGUCCCAAAUGGGACGAAACUCCCGUCCUAGAU